GACGAACCGUGCGAACGUUGUUCGGAAUCACUGGGCUUAAAGGGCGCGUAGGCGGGCACGCAAGUCAGGGGUGAAAGCCCACGGCUCAACCGUGGAAGGGCCUUUGAUACUGCGUGUCUGGAGGGAGGUAGGGGCGUGCGGAACUUCCGGUGGAGCGGUGAAAUGCGUAGAUAUCGGAAGGAACACCGGUGGCGAAAGCGGCGCGCUGGACCUCAUCUGACGCUGAUGCGCGAAAGCCAGGGGAGCGAACGGG
This 253-nucleotide ribosomal RNA is filed under the name uncultured bacterium. RNAcentral's name for it is "partial 16S ribosomal RNA". It matches the Rfam family "Bacterial small subunit ribosomal RNA", at positions 524 to 776 of the family's 1533-position model. The record is from RNAcentral.